GUAGGGAAUAUUGGGCAAUGGUCGGAAGACUGACCCAGCCAUGCCGCGUGCAGGAAGACGGCCCUCUGGGUUGUAAACUGCUUUUAUCUGGGAAGAAAAAGGCCAUGCGUGGCAAAUUGCCGGUACCAGAUGAAUAAGCACCGGCUAACUCCGUGCCAGCAGCCGCGGUAAUACGGAGGGUGCGAGCGUUGUCCGGAUUUAUUGGGUUUAAAGGGUGCGUAGGCGGCCGAUUAAGUCAGCGGUGAAAGACUUCGGCUUAACCGGAGCAGUGCCGUUGAUACUGGUUGGCUUGAGUGUCGGAGGGGUACAUGGAAUUGAUGGUGUAGCGGUGAAAUGCAUAGAUACCAUCAGGAACACCGAUAGCGAAGGCAUUGUACUGGCCGACAACUGACGCUGAUGCACGAAAGUGUGGGGAUCGAACAGGAUUAGAAACCCGUGUAGUCC
Molecule: ribosomal RNA, 444 nt
Filed under: uncultured bacterium
Lineage: Bacteria
Description: partial 16S ribosomal RNA
Rfam family: Bacterial small subunit ribosomal RNA
Source: RNAcentral